GAUGAACGCUGGCGGCGUGCCUAAUACAUGCAAGUCGAGCGCAGGGACGAGAAGCUUGCUCCUGUGAGAUUAGCGGCGGACGGGUGAGUAAUACGUGGAUAACCUGCCUUUGAGACUGGGAUAACUUCGGGAAACCGUAGCUAAUACCGGAUAAUAUUUUUAACCGCAUGGUUCAAAAGGGAAAGACGGUCUUGCUGUUACUUAUAGAUGGAUCCGAGCUGCAUUAGCUAGUUGGUAAGGUAACGGCUUACCAAGGCAGCGAUGCAUAGCCGACCUGAGAGACGGGUAGGCCACCCUGGAACGGGACCACCGUCCAGAGGCCUGAGAGAGGGAGCAGACGGGAACGUGCGGCAGUGGGCGAGAGCCUGACGGAACGGGCCGAAGUGUGUGAUGAAGACCUUCGGUGCGUAAUACCGGGUUAUGAGUGAAGAACAUAUGUGUAAGCAGCAGUAGAGAACUUGACGGUACGUGAACAGGAAGCCCCGGCUAACUACGUG
Molecule: ribosomal RNA, 497 nt
Filed under: uncultured bacterium
Lineage: Bacteria
Description: partial 16S ribosomal RNA
Rfam family: Bacterial small subunit ribosomal RNA
Source: RNAcentral